This is a non-coding RNA of Cinara cedri, 218 nucleotides long. NCBI's taxonomy places the organism in Eukaryota, Metazoa, Arthropoda, Insecta, Hemiptera, Aphididae. The record is from the annotation of a GenBank genome assembly.
ACCCUCAGGUAUUUAAAUACACGCGAGACUUUUUAUCAACGUGCAGAUAAUAUUUCGUUUAAAAAUAGUCGUUCUGUACAACUCGCAUGCGUGUUAUACGGAAUUACUUUUAUAACUCGUGUAAUAUAGUUUGCCGUACAAAUAAACGUUUUAUAUUUCGCGGGGUAGAAUGCCCGAAAGAUCGCUCGGUCUAUAAUGUAAUCGCCACUAAAACCUCC